Rhinopithecus roxellana (golden snub-nosed monkey) is the source of this 509-nucleotide long non-coding RNA. RefSeq lists it as uncharacterized. NCBI's taxonomy places the organism in Eukaryota, Metazoa, Chordata, Mammalia, Primates, Cercopithecidae. The record is from RefSeq and is a predicted model, not a curated record. The transcript has 4 exons.
UCCCUCGACCCAGGAGGCGGCGGGAAGGGCAGAGCAGAGCCGGGGCCGCCCAGUGCGCGGAGACCGGCUUAUCGUUUCUUUCAAAAACCAUUUUGGACCUUUCUGGGAAGGCAAAGAAGAGGAGCGGAGUGGACUGUGAGCGGACGUAAACCACCCUGAUGGUGCUUGUGCUAUCCAUCCAAGAAGAGCAUGUCCUAGGGAAAUGCUGCUGCUUCAGCUUGGGUCCUGGAAUGAGAGACACCUGGAAUAAACUGGCAUCUAACUCACAGUCUGGAGCCAAGUACAGAGGAAGAUACUUCAUGAAGACAAAAGCAUCUAAGGCCUGAGAAAGUGAGAAUGUGACCCUGAUUGACUGCCAUUGGUUUCCCCUUCCCCCAGUGGGGUUGGGGGGUACCCCCUGCAUUAUGUGAUUAAGUCUCUGCACCCCUAGCCUCGUUUGCAUCACUUAGGACUGCUUUCUGAACAAGAAGUGCAUAAAUAAAUGAAUGGCCUUGCGCAAGGCUCUUGAC